UAAAUGACUUCCUGAGCUUCAAUUUCACAGACAAUACAUUACUCCAUCAUACCCACUAUCAAAUUGAUAGAGUUCUCCUAGUGUUUUUAAUUAGUAAUAAAACACUAUUACUAGUCACAACACUAGAGAAUUCUCACUACGAGACAUUUACUAGGAAAAAUUUAUAUUAAAUUUUGAAUAUCAAAACAUUAGGAGAAGCCUACAUCACUAAGAGAAAUUGAAAUUUUUGGUUGUGACCGUUAGUAAAAAGAACAUCAUCAGCACUCCAUAGGAUUAGGAACCAACUUAUUGCAUGGAAGGCAUUGUCGCAUGCAUACUCUCCUUGCAGUUUGUCGUUAUGACUUCAUCUUGCGAAGCCAUUUCAGAGGGUCCUCAAGCUUAGAAGACUCUUGGUCUGAAUCGCAUAAUAAAACACCUCAAGCCAAUACCAUGCACUUGUACACCUUGACGUCCUUGCAGUAGCAUGUAUACUGGUUUGGCCUAUGCAAACAGACCAAACUCAGCAAGACAAAACAUGCCAUAGCUAUCCAUCGCACCUGUUGAAUAGAAUUCGCCUUGGGAGCAAUUUACUGGAAGGAAAUCAAAUAUCAGUGCUCACCCUGUAGCAGUAGGUUCAGGCUGUCAGGGACUGCUGGCUCUCCAGUUCUGAAAACAAUCUGCAAGAACUAUUUUUACAAAUAUAUAACUCCAUGAUAGGCAAGCAAUGGAGAAGAAAAGAAUGUAGAUUAAUGUUGAAGCAUGUAUCCUUGAAACAUGGAGUUACAGGAAUAGGAAAUACAAUAUGUAACUAGUGCUCAAAAGAUAUCGUCUGUUCGGCGAAGUCAUUGUAUAUUGUUGUGCAGAUUUAACGAACUCCAUUUGAAGCGUGUAUCUU
RNAcentral lists this long non-coding RNA (874 nucleotides) under Sorghum bicolor (sorghum). Its description in RNAcentral is "long non-coding RNA (SBIC_LNC005905)". Lineage: Eukaryota; Viridiplantae; Streptophyta; Magnoliopsida; Poales; Poaceae. The record is from RNAcentral.